Molecule: ribosomal RNA, 1222 nt
Filed under: metagenome
Description: bacterial LSU rRNA
Rfam family: Bacterial large subunit ribosomal RNA
Source: RNAcentral
CGAACUCUGCAAAAUGGCCCCGUAAGUUCGCGAUAAGGGGUACCCCCGAUGGUUAACGCUGUUGGGGGUCACAGUAAAUCGGCAUCAGCGACUGUUUAUCAAAAACACAGGACUCUGCUAACUCGCAAGAGGAUGUAUAGAGUCUGACGCCUGCCCGGUGUUGGUAGGUUAAGGAAGAGGGUUCGCCGCAAGGCAAAGCCCGCGACCGAAGCCCCAAUAAACGGCGGCCGUAACUAUGACGGUCCUAAGGUAGCGAAGUUCCUUGUCGGGUAAGUUCCGACCUGCAUGAAUGGCGUAACGACUGAUGCACUGUCUCAACCAGUGACCCGGUGAAAUUGUAGCCGUGGUGAAGAUGCCACGUACCCGCAGUGUGACGGAAAGACCCCGUGAACCUUUACUGUAGGCUGAUAUUGGUCUCGGACGUGUUCUGUGUAGGAUAGGUGGGAGGCUUUGAAGCGGUGGCGCAAGCCAUCGUGGAGCCAACGUUGAAAUACCACCCUGAAUUCGUUUGAGUUCUAACUCUGAUUCCCGUGAAUCCGGGCAGAGGACAGUGUCAGUUGGGCAGUUUGACUGGGGCGGUCUCCUCCAAAAGAGUAACGGAGGAGUUCAAAGGUACUCUCAGCCUGGUUGGCAAUCAGGCAUCGAGCGUAAAGGUAGAAGAGUGCUUGACUGUGAGACCCAUGAGUCGAACAGAUACGAAAGUAGGACUUAGUGAUCCGGCGGUGCUGGAUGGAAAGGCCGUCGCUCAUCAGAUAAAAGGUACUCCGGGGAUAACAGGCUUAUCGCUUCCGAGCGUCCAUAGCGGCGAAGCGGUUUGGCACCUCGAUGUCGGCUCAUCACAUCCUGGGGGUGGAGAAGCUCCCAAGGGUUUGGCUGUUCGCCAAUGAAAGUGGUACGUGAGCUGGGUUCAGACCGUCGUGAGACAGGUCGGUCCCUAUCUGCUGUGGGCGCACGAAACUUGUGGGGAUUCUUCUUUAGUACGAGAGGAUUUGGAAGGACGUUCCUCUGGUGUUCCAGUUGUCGCGCUAGCGGCACGGCUGGAUAGCUAUGAACGGAACGGAUAAACGCUGAAAGCAUAUAAGCGUGAAGCCCGCCCCAAGAUCAGGUUUCGUAGGGCUUUAUGCCCGAAAGUCCCCUGGAAGACGACCAGGUUGAUAGGCCGGACGUGUACGUGCAGCAAUGCACUCAGCUAACCGGUACUAACGGACGAACGCUUGACCAC